GACGAACGCUGGCGGCGCGCCUAACACAUGCAAGUCGAACGGAGCCAAGAGGAGCUUGCUCUUCUUGACUUAGUGGCGUAUGGGUGAGUAACGCGUGAGUAACUUGCCCUGGAGUGGGGGACAACAGAUGGAAAGGACUGCUAAUACAGCAUAUGCUCAUGGAUCCGCAUGGCUCUGCGGCACAUGGAUUUAUUCGCUUCAGGAUGGACUCGCGUCCAAUUAGCUAGUUGGUGAGGUAACGGCCCACCAAGGCGACGAUUGGUAGCCGGACUGAGAGGGUGAACGGCCACAUUGGGACUGAGACACGGCCCAGACUCCUACGGGAGGCAGCAGUGGGGGAUAUUGCACAAUGGGGGAAACCCUGAUGCAGCGACGCCGCGUGGAGGAAGAAGGUUUUCGGAUUGUAAACUCCUAUCGUUAGGGACGAUAAUGACGGUACCUAACAAGAAAGCACCGGCUAACUACGUG
RNAcentral lists this ribosomal RNA (468 nucleotides) under uncultured bacterium. Its description in RNAcentral is "partial 16S ribosomal RNA". It matches the Rfam family "Bacterial small subunit ribosomal RNA", at positions 28 to 507 of the family's 1533-position model. The record is from RNAcentral.